ACGUACCAAAACUCUACGAGUACGAAAAAGAAAUGAGAGGAGUCCAGGGGGUGCUCGCCUUCCUAACCAGUCGGCUUCACCACGAGAGGGUGCCUGUUCUCCAAAACAAAACGAACCCUGAAGUGAAAUAUAUAAAAUGAUGCCAAGACCGGUCGCCUUCCUAGCAAGUCGGCAAGUACCGUCUCAGGCAGUGCCCUUACCAAAACGAACCGAAAGACGAGAAACGUAAAACGAACCUCACUUAGUGUGGCACAAAGUCUAGUCUCUGCGUUACGUGUGAAUGUGAUACACCAAGCGCAAAAAGAGACUAGCGCACAGAGAGAUGGCCGUCUCGUACGGUCAGACGAAGUUACGGUAACUAAAAUAAUCGCUGUGCUUCCAAGUUCUUCGAAGGCGCAACGCCAAUGGAGGCAUACGGAAGUUAAAAUGCGAUCGUUAGCAAUGCGCUUGUUCAAGCGCGCCGUAGCGACUCUGUGGUCGCCCCCACGUGCUUCUUUGGCAGAGAUGGCGCGUGUGGGAACCACCCGGAAAGGCUCUUCACGAGCUUGCCCGGUGUGGAGCUUCAGGACGUUUCGGCCUGCUUCGAAUUGACUAUAGCUUUGCUCGUCAUGACUGCUACUUUGCGGCGCGGCAAUGUUCCGCAAUGCCUCUCAGUACGGCGGUUUACGGAUGGGGAAAAGAGUGCCUACUACCUGCGGGAAACAGCCUCCAAGUACUCUGAAGUUUCGAAGCACGGCUAAUGUUCCUACUCGGACGAUAGCCUCAAUCUACCCUUGUUCGUGGACUGCGGCAGAAAUGCGGGUCUUACACGUUCA
This 815-nucleotide unclassified non-coding RNA is filed under the name Thrips palmi. Its description in RNAcentral is "partial miscellaneous RNA". Lineage: Eukaryota; Metazoa; Arthropoda; Insecta; Thysanoptera; Thripidae. The record is from RNAcentral.